This 954-nucleotide ribosomal RNA is filed under the name Auriscalpium vulgare. RNAcentral describes it as "eukaryotic LSU rRNA". It matches the Rfam family "Eukaryotic large subunit ribosomal RNA", at positions 1 to 934 of the family's 3401-position model. Lineage: Eukaryota; Fungi; Basidiomycota; Agaricomycetes; Russulales; Auriscalpiaceae. The record is from RNAcentral.
CUUGACCUCAGAUCAGGCGGGACUACCCGCUGAAGCUUAAGCAUAUCAAUAAACGGUGGAAAAGAAACUAACAAGGAUUCCCCUAGUAACUGCGAGUGAAGCGGGAAAAGCUCAAAUUUAAAAUCUGGCGGUCUCUGGCCGUCCGAGUUGUAGUCUGGAGAAGUGUUUUCCGCGCUGGACCGUGUACAAGUCUCCUGGAACGGAGCGUCAUAGAGGGUGAGAAUCCCGUCUUUGACACGGACUACCAGUGCUCUGUGAUGCGCUCUCAAAGAGUCGAGUUGUUUGGGAAUGCAGCUCAAAAUGGGUGGUGAAUUCCAUCUAAAGCUAAAUAUUGGCGAGAGACCGAUAGCGAACAAGUACCGUGAGGGAAAGAUGAAAAGCACUUUGGAAAGAGAGUUAAACAGUACGUGAAAUUGUUGAAAGGAAAACACUUGAAGUCAGUCGCGUUCCUCGAGACUCAGCCUUGCCUUCCGGCCUGGUGUACUUCUCGUUGAACGGGCCAGCAUCAAUUUUGAUCGUCGGAUAAAGGCGGGAGGAAGGUGGCACCCCUCGGGGUGUGUUAUAGCCUCUCGUCACAUACGACGGUUGGGAUUGAGGACCGCAGCACGCCUUUAUGGUCGGGGUUCGCCCACGUUCGUGCUUAGGAUGCUGGCGUAAUGGCUUUAAAUGACCCGUCUUGAAACACGGACCAAGGAGUCUAACAUGCCCGCGAGUGUUCGGGUGGAAAACCCGUGCGCGUAAUGAAAGUGAAAGUUGGGACCUCUGUCGUGGAGGGCACCGACGCCCGGACCAGAGGUUCUGUGACGGAUCUGCGGUAGAGCGUGUAUGUUGGGACCCGAAAGAUGGUGAACUAUGCCUGAAUAGGGUGAAGCCAGAGGAAACUCUGGUGGAGGCUCGUAGCGAUUCUGACGUGCAAAUCGAUCGUCAAAUUUGGGUAUAGGGGCGAAAGACUAA